GCUUCGAGAUGAGCCCGCGGCCCAUCAGCUAGUUGGCGGGGUAACGGCCCACCAAGGCAACGACGGGUAGCUGGUCUGAGAGGACGAUCAGCCACACUGGAACUGAGACACGGUCCAGACUCCUACGGGAGGCAGCAGUGGGGAAUUUUCCACAAUGGGCGAAAGCCUGAUGGAGCAACGCCGCGUGUGUGAUGAAGGUUUUCGGAUCGUAAAGCACUUUCGACCGGGACGAAAAACCUCUGGCUAACAUCCAGGGGCCUGACGGUACCGGGAGAAGAAGCACCGGCUAACUCUGUGCCAGCAGCCGCGGUAAU
This 314-nucleotide ribosomal RNA is filed under the name Aeromonas salmonicida subsp. salmonicida 01-B526. RNAcentral describes it as "bacterial SSU rRNA". It matches the Rfam family "Bacterial small subunit ribosomal RNA", at positions 217 to 524 of the family's 1533-position model. Lineage: Bacteria; Pseudomonadati; Pseudomonadota; Gammaproteobacteria; Aeromonadales; Aeromonadaceae. The record is from RNAcentral.